Long non-coding RNA from Homo sapiens (human), 3584 nucleotides. The record is from Ensembl. NCBI's taxonomy places the organism in Eukaryota, Metazoa, Chordata, Mammalia, Primates, Hominidae.
AGACUCUUACUUGUGCCAGUUAGCUACAAAUUUGGGAUUAUAGUCAGUCCACUGCUCCUCCAGAUAAAUCUGAGGCAAAAUCUACUGCAUUAGCUCUAAUAGAGUCCUUUGCAAGCUUGACCUAACCUGGUCAGGAUCUGUUCUGAUUGAAUUGUAAAGCCUGUUAUGUCUCUUGCUGUACAUUUCUCUUGCUGCUAAAGUCUUCAUGUUUAGUCGGAUAUACUAAUUCUUCCAAGAUCCUGGCCAUCUCAGCCCUACCAUCGGUCUACCCUUUGAGGUGUUUGGGAUUUAACAAAAAUGAACUACUUCUCUUGCCCAUGGAUUACCGGCAUGACAAUAAGGCUCAUUAUUUUCAGAAGCUUGUAACUAUGCAGGAGAAUUUAUAUGUACUUCUGUGUGAUGAAGAAUUGGAUGCAGUCUCUUUGGAAGCUGUGCACCAACAAAAGAUGAAGAAUAGACAAGCCCACUCUUCAUCAGGUUUGAAGAUGCAGCUCCAGAAUGCAAUUCCCUUGUUCUAACCUCCUCAUUUACCACCCACCCAUAUGGUCUCUGCUGUGAAAAAAGUAUAGACAGGGUCAGGCACUGUGGCUCACGCCUGUAAUCCCAGCACUUUGGGAGGCCGAGGUGGAUGGAUCACGAGGUCAGGAGUUAGAGACCAGACUGGCCAACAUGGUGAAACCCCAUCUCUACUAAAAACACAAAAAUUAGUUGGGCGUGGUGGCAGGCACCUGUAAUCCCAGCUACUCGGGAGGCCUGAGUCAGGAGAAUCCUUUGAACCCGGGAGACAGAGGUUGCAGCGAGCCAAGAUCGCUCCAGCGGAGAUUGUACUCCAGCCUGGGAGACAGGGUGAGACUCUGUCUCAGAAAAAAAAAGAAAAAAAAAAAGUAUAGACAGGUCUCAUUUUCUAAUGGCUCCCUUCUAGUUCAAUAAGUUGUAAUAUUUUAUCAUUAAUAAUUUAUUAUCAUUUUAAAUGGUUCUCUGUAAAGAAAAAAGAGGGUUAACUUGCACUGUUCCGCUAAGGACUUGAGUAGUAUAAUGUAUAAUCUUUCUAAUUUGCUAGACGGAAGUAAUUGUAUUGUAUCAUGUUUUAAUUUGCAUUGGGGUUGUAAAUAAAGUGAACAUUUAAUACCCUAGUAAAGUGAUUUUUAAUGUCAAUAUUUAGAAGAUUAUUGAUUACCGAAAUUUAGCUUUAAAAAUUAUCUUUGAUUGACCGGGUGCGGUGGCUCACGCCUGUAAUCCCAGCACUUUGGGAGGCCGAGGCGGGCGGAUCACAAGGUCAGGAGAUCGAGACCAUCCUGGCUAACAUGAAACCCCAUCUCUACUAAAAAUACAAAAAAAAAUUAGCCAGGCGUGGUGGCGGGCGCCUGUGGUCCCAGCUACUCGGGAGGCUGAGGCAGGAGAAUGACGUGAACCCGAGAGGCGGAGCUUGCAGUGAGCCGAGAUCCCGCCACUGCACUCCAGCCUGGGCGACAGAGCAAGACUCCAUCUCAAAAAAAAAAAAAAAAUUAUCUUUGAUUGUGGCAGGCAUACUUUAUAUUUCAUGUAAUGUAUGCAUCCCUCAAAAUUAUUUCAGAUAACUUUUUGUAGACCACUAUUUGUAUCGUUAAUGAAAAUAUAUAUUUUCCUUAUUCUACAUUUUUAGUUUUUAAAAACUAUCAUGUAUUAUUUAAUUUGACAUAUAGUUUUCUGUACUUGUACUAAUGCCAUCAGCUAACAAAAUCAAUAAACAAUGGAACCCAUUGGGCAUAAAUCAACUUAAUUAACAGUUAUACAUCUGUUAUUAAACAUUGAAAGGCAUUUUAUUCUCUUGUUGAGUAUAGAUAUGGCCCUAAUUAACCAUUAUAAAACUUAUACAUACCCAUAGAAAAAGAACAUUCAAAAUAUAAAUAAAAAAUAGCCCCAGUGAUUUUUUUCUGUUUACCAGGGUGCAUAUUUGAAAUUACAUUACUUUAGUGAAAAAAUGCUAGCCAAACAUCUUUAUAGUAUUUGUAAAAAUGUAAAUGUCAGAGAAUAAAUAAAGCUCAUUUCUCUGGUCAGCUUGGAAUUUUUUUUCAGGAUCAUAACUCAUUGUUAAAUUUCAUGUAAACUGAUUAGCAUAUUUUAUUUAAUUAUGUAUUAUCCAUGUUUCUCUUUGCUAAUUGAGUGGUUUUUGAAUUAUGUUUGUAAAAUAAUGUAAAAUGUUUCCAUGAGAAUAAUAGUAACUAUGAAACUCACUUCCUUGCAAAAGCAAAUUUAAAUAAUGAAUUCAUGUAACUACUGGUAGAAUAUGCUACAAAAAAGUACUUGUGUAUUUAUUUACAUUUGUGAAAACAAAGUGUACUCAUAGAAGCUGCUAACAGAUCACCCUUGGAGAUUGCAUGUUCACUUUAGAGUCUGUUAGGUUUGCCCUGCAUGAACGUCUAAGAUCUUUUCAAAAAAUUGUUAUUGUAAUAAGGACUCUUAAAAUGAGAUUUGUUCUAUUAACAGAUUUUUAAAUGUACAAUACAGUGUCAUUAUCCAUAGGCUAAACGUUGUAUAACAAAUCUCUAGAAUGUACUUAUUAUGCAUAACUAAAAUUUUAUAAUACCAGCAGAAAACAAACAAAAAAUUACCAAUCACGGAAUAAUGUUGUUAUUACACAUUAAAAUGAAAGUUUUCUAUGUGAUGUUGAACAAAUCAGUUCAAAUAUUUGAGAUUCAAUUUGCUUAUUAGCCAAAUAAGAAGACUUAGUAUGAUUAUCUUCAAGGUAGCAUUCCACUGUCACUCUCCCUGAUUCCAACAGAUAAGAACAAGAAUUAGGAUGGUUUGAGCCUUUGACUUUGGAAAAUAGCAUUGCUCUCAUGCUUUUGAAUGCAUUUACAAACUUUAAGAGUCCUCACCACAGUUACUGCUAACAACGAAUAGGCUACUUCUGACUUCAGCAUAGAUUCCUGAAGGUUGUAGAGUGGUCAAGAGAGGCAAGUAUGUUUUUGAGGAAUAUAAUAUAAUUCUUACCUCCCUCUACUUAUUGACGGAUACUCACCAAAUGCAUGCCCACGUCAUAGAAACUUGCACACUCUAGAGAGUGUUAGUAGAUGUUAGUAGAACAUCUUUAGAGAGAUGUUAGUAGAAAGAGUCAAAUUGCAGCUUAAAUAUGUCAAUAAAUGUAUAUUUUAGAAAGCUUAGGAAGUAAUUCAACUAGAAGUUAAACAUAAGAUCUUUUGUUGGUGUUCUCUUCUAAGCCAUCCUAUGUUCUUAUUUUCAAUCAUAUGGUUCUUAAGCAAAUUAAGUCGUAGAUUAUACACAAUUGUAUGUGGAUAAAACAUAUCAUCUUACUUUUAUUACUAGAAUAGACAGAAAAUCAUUUUACUUAAAGAGAUACAAUUUUUUUUUCUGGUCAUAGCAUUAAAAAGUAAACAAUAAAAUGAUAUAAAUUUUGAUGAUCUUGCCCAAGAUCGAUGAACACUAAACUAAAAUAUUAAAACCAUUUUUUGAUGGAAAAUAUUCAGUAUGUAAAUAGAAAAGGGUUAAGUAAGCAUAGAAAUAUAAACUGUGUUCUGUUACACAAUUACAAUCAUUACAGAAAUAAUAUAGAAGCCUGAAAAUGACUUUUUUUAAUGUCCAGU